CUACGGGGUGCAGCAGUGGGGAAUAUUGCACAAUGGGCGCAAGCCUGAUGCAGCCAUGCCGCGUGUAUGAAGAAGGCCUUCGGGUUGUAAAGUACUUUCAGCGGGGAGGAAGGGAGUAAAGUUAAUACCUUUGCUCAUUGACGUUACCCGCAGAAGAAGCACCGGCUAAGUCCGUGCCAGCAUCCGCGGUAAUACGGAGGGUGCAAGCGUUAAUCGGAAUUACUGGGCGUAAAGCGCACGCAGGCGGUUUGUUAAGUCAGAUGUGAAAUCCCCGGGCUCAACCUGGGAACUGCAUCUGAUACUGGCAAGCUUGAGUCUCGUAGAGGGGGGUAGAAUUCCAGGUGUAGCGGUGAAAUGCGUAGAGAUCUGGAGGAAUACCGGUGGCGAAGGCGGCCCCCUGGACGAAGACUGACGCUCAGGUGCGAAAGCGUGGGGAGCAAACAGGAUUAGAUACCCCGGUAGUC
Molecule: ribosomal RNA, 464 nt
Filed under: uncultured bacterium
Lineage: Bacteria
Description: partial 16S ribosomal RNA
Rfam family: Bacterial small subunit ribosomal RNA
Source: RNAcentral